RNAcentral lists this ribosomal RNA (230 nucleotides) under uncultured bacterium. Its description in RNAcentral is "partial 16S ribosomal RNA". It matches the Rfam family "Bacterial small subunit ribosomal RNA", at positions 562 to 791 of the family's 1533-position model. The record is from RNAcentral.
AAAGGGUGCGUAGGCGGCCUGUUAAGUCAGAGGUGAAAGACGGUAGCUCAACUAUCGCAGUGCCUUUGAUACUGAUGGGCUUGAAUGGACUAGAGGUAGGCGGAAUGAGACAAGUAGCGGUGAAAUGCAUAGAUAUGUCUCAGAACACCGAUUGCGAAGGCAGCUUACUAUGGUUUUAUUGACGCUGAGGCACGAAAGCGUGGGGAUCAAACAGGAUUAGAUACCCUAGU